Daktulosphaira vitifoliae (grape phylloxera) is the source of this 2641-nucleotide RNA transcript. It is a transcript of the gene named pre-piRNA 3'-exonuclease trimmer-like, with no coding region annotated. The record is from RefSeq and is a predicted model, not a curated record. NCBI's taxonomy places the organism in Eukaryota, Metazoa, Arthropoda, Insecta, Hemiptera, Phylloxeridae. The transcript has 13 exons.
UUGGAUGGAUACUUUAUGAUAAAAUAUUUACCAAUACUGAAAUAUUGGUUGGAAUUGUAUUUGAUAGGAAAGUGUAAUACCAGAAACCGAACUUGGGGGGAUUAUCUAGGAAAAUACUAAUAAGCACUAUGGUCAGGGAGAUAUGGAGAAUUGUAGUGGAAUCGGUAAUGGACCUAUAAGGCUAUUAUUUUAGCUAAAUUAGUGAGAAUAUAUUUGAUAACAAAUAAUAGCCGUUGAAUAGAGAUAGCAGAGUAAUAAUAUUUCAAUAUCUACAUUAAUGGAUAUGAGUUAACCUGUGCCCAAUUCAAAUCACAUUCUUAGGGGAUUUUAAAUAUUAUUUAUUACACUUUUUGUUGAAUUUUUACUAUAUUUUUGUAAAAAAAAAAACAAGUUUCUUACUAUCUUUUAUUUUUCCUCGAUUUCAAAUUAAAAUUUACAUAUCAUCUUGUUUUAAAUUUUUACUAUUUUAAUUAAUUUAAAUGAUUAAUAUAUAACAUGUCUGAAAUAAUAUACUCUAAUUUUUAUGAUGAACUUCCUGUUAUUGAAUCAAUGUUAAGAUCUUCUGCAUUUGUCUGUAUUGAUAUGGAAUUUUCAAAAUUACACGAUGAUAAUGCAGUUCCUUUCACGUUUUUUGAUACGUUAGAAGAUCGAUAUCAAAAAUUGCGUUUGAAAGUUAGUGAUAUUACUUGUAUUCAACUUGGAUUAUCUUUUUUCAUUUAUGAUGUAAAACAUAAAACUUUUGAUGCAAGUUCAUAUUCAUUCUACACAUUUCCUCAAUCAUACUUAAAAUAUGACAAUAUAAUAAAGUUUCAGACAUCAUGUGUUGAAUUUUUAUGUAGGCAUAAAUUUGAUUUCAAUAAGUUAUUUCAUCAUAGUAUUCCAUAUUUAACAAACACGCAAGAAAUUGACAUUCAGGUGCUAAUAUCAGAUGACAACAUCUUAGAUGAUCAUUUUAAAAAUAAUGUUUUUCGUUCUGUAAAAGAAGAACUAAUUGAACAGUUAAAAUCAGUUAAUGAAUGGUAUGACGGAGCAAAAGAAGGAGAUUAUUUGUUAUUAAAAAAAUAUGAGUGUAACAGUCCACUUUUUACUUACUUACUGUUACAUUAUAUUAAAAAGAAACAUCAAAAUGUGUGCUUAAAAGAGGAACAUCAAUAUAUUAAUAUUACUAAAAUGUCAUUUAGUGAAAAAUCAUUUCAAAAAAAUGAUGCUUAUUAUAAAAAGAAGUUCUAUACUAAAAUACUUGGCAUUAAAUAUCUUUUAAAUUUAUUGUCAGAAUUGAAAAAGCCUUUAAUUGGACAUAACUGUGCUAUGGAUAUUUUAAUAUUAUGUAACCAAUUUUUCAAACCAUUGCCAAAUAAUUUGAAAGAUUAUCAAAGUUUUGUUUCCAAUACAUUUGGCCCUAUUUAUGACACAAAAUUAAUGUGCAAGGAAUUUAGACGAUUACUUCCUAAAAAUGUAAAUUGGGAUGGAAGCUCUCUUUCUGAAAUUUAUCUGUUUUUAAAAGACGGUGAUGCUAAAAUUUAUUCAGAUUCAUUAUUUAUCAAACAAUCUACCGAAGAAUUUGAGGAUUUGAAACUACAUCAUGCUGGAUGGGAUGCUUACUAUACAGGCUAUUGUUUUAUCAAAAUAGUUUAUAUUACUAAAAAUUUUUCAAGUAAUACACAAAAUGUCAAUCGAAUGUAUACACUAAUAGAAUUAUUUAAAUCUGUAGAAUCCUUAAAAAAUAAAGUUUUCACUAGCAGAUUAAUGACUAACUGUAUUGAUUUACAUUGUCACAAUUCUAUUUAUAAUCAACCUGAGUGUCUAGUAAUAAAAUCAAAAGGAUUAUUUUCAAUGGCUUUAAACUUGAAUGAAUUAAAAAAUGAUUUAAACUCGAUGUGUAAUUAUGACAUGAAAUUAAUUUCAAAAUCAAGUGUACUUGUUGCAACUCCAAUUUUGAAUAAUAGAAUUAUCAAAGAUAUUCAAACCAAGUAUGCUGUAGAGAAGUAUAAUGAUUAUAAAAUCAGAAAGAAAAGGCAAUAUAUAUGUGUUGGAUUCAUAAUAUUAUCUUCUUUAGCUAUUACUAUGGUAUACCAUAAAAAAUGACAAGCUGAGUAUGUGUUGACAGUAUUAUUUCAUUUUAUUAUAAGAAUAACCUAAUUUAAGCCAAAUAAAAGUCGAUUGUGCGCCGGUGUUGUGUACACGUGAAGAUACACCGCAGCACCAACACACUUCAUAACAAAUCAAUAUGCUCACCCAAAUGACCUAGUAAAAAUGGCCGUGAUCGCAUUGUUCCUUCUAUUCCAUUUUAAUAUCUUACAGAUUUUUAACAUAGCCAGCUAAAAUAAUUUUUUUGUUAAUUUGUACCGCGUUUUAUUAAAAUAACUAUACUAUUUAAAAAAAAAGUGUCAAAGAACUUAAAAAAUGCCGUAGAAGAAUUAAGUACCUAUAAAUCUUCACAUUUGGUCUUGCGCAUUACUAAAACUCUUUUUAUUAAUUCAAAUAUUUUAUCUGUUAAGUGAUUACUAAUAAAGUAUGUCUUAUUUGGCACCUUAAUUGUCUUUCAUGAACCUUGGCGGAAUUUAACGCAUGUAGCCACUUUUUGAAAUUGUUUUUUUGUUUAAAUUUACAAUUUUUGGAAUUAAAUUAAAAUUAAUUAAAU